UACAGAGGGGGCAAGCGUUGUUCGGAAUUACUGGGCGUGAAGGGCGCGUAGGUGGCCUUCUAAGUUGAACGUGAAAUCCCUGGGCUCAACCCAGGAACUGCGUCCAAGACUGGGAGGCUUGAAUCCGGGAGAGGGAUGCGGAAUUCCAGGUGUAGCGGUGAAAUGCGUAGAUAUCUGGAGGAACACCGGUGGCGAAGGCGGCAUCCUGGACCGGUAUUGACACUGAGGCGCGAAAGCCAGGGGAGCAAACGGG
Molecule: ribosomal RNA, 253 nt
Filed under: uncultured bacterium
Lineage: Bacteria
Description: partial 16S ribosomal RNA
Rfam family: Bacterial small subunit ribosomal RNA
Source: RNAcentral